GACGAACGCUGGCGGCGUGCUUAACACAUGCAAGUCGAACGGAAAGGCCCUUCGGGGUACUCGAGUGGCGAACGGGUGAGUAACACGUGGGUGAUCUGCCCUGCACUUUGGGAUAAGCCUGGGAAACUGGGUCUAAUACCGAAUAGGACCGCGCGCUUCAUGGUGUGUGGUGGAAAGCUUUUGCGGUGUGGGAUGGGCCCGCGGCCUAUCAGCUUGUUGGUGGGGUAAUGGCCUACCAAGGCGACGACGGGUAGCCGGCCUGAGAGGGUGACCGGCCACACUGGGAAUGAGAUACGGCCCAGACUCCUACGGGAGGCAGCAGUGGGGAAUAUUGCACAAUGGGCGCAAGCCUGAUGCAGCGACGCCGCGUGAGGGAUGACGGCCUUCGGGUUGUAAACCUCUUUCACCAGGGACGAAGCGCAAGUGACGGUACCUGGAGAAGAAGCACCGGCCAACUACGUG
This 462-nucleotide ribosomal RNA is filed under the name uncultured bacterium. RNAcentral's name for it is "partial 16S ribosomal RNA". It matches the Rfam family "Bacterial small subunit ribosomal RNA", at positions 28 to 507 of the family's 1533-position model. The record is from RNAcentral.